CUCUGGUGAAGUCAGCUGAGAUGGAGCUGGCCUGGUGUCACUAGAAUCCUUGUUUAGGCAGACCUUGUGAUCCACAAUGGAAAUAUCCAGCUGUGGAGACAACCUUGGAGCUCCUG
RNAcentral lists this long non-coding RNA (116 nucleotides) under Monodelphis domestica (gray short-tailed opossum). RNAcentral's name for it is "lncRNA (ENSMODG00000040649.1)". The record is from RNAcentral. Lineage: Eukaryota; Metazoa; Chordata; Mammalia; Didelphimorphia; Didelphidae.